CUGGAACGCGGAGGGGCGGAGGGAACCCCGGUGGCUGCGGUUCCGCGAAAUGGCGGAGACGGCGGCCAACGCCCGCUGGCUGCUCACUUCUAAAACGGAGAACCUGAGUGCCUCCUGAGGGCUAGCCAGCAGCUUCCUAGAGAUGGCUGUGAGGCUGUGGGGUCAGCCAGGCCAGCUUCACUACCUACGAGAUCAGGGUCAAGACAAACCUUCCAAUUUUCAAACUGAAAGAAUCUCCUGUCAAAAGAAGAUAACAUGACUCCAAGAGAAAACAUAAUGAGAAAAUCUUCAAGGACUUUCUGGCACACAACAGGACUUCAACAAAUGUAAGUAAUGGCUGCUUUCUCUCACACCUAAAGACAUAAUUUUGACAUAAAUUGCAUGGAACAUAGGUAUCAUAGACAGCUUUUGAAAAUAUAAGCCAGAAAUAAAACAC
RNAcentral lists this long non-coding RNA (436 nucleotides) under Fukomys damarensis (Damara mole-rat). RNAcentral describes it as "lncRNA (ENSFDAG00000022376.1)". Lineage: Eukaryota; Metazoa; Chordata; Mammalia; Rodentia; Bathyergidae. The record is from RNAcentral.